RNAcentral lists this ribosomal RNA (468 nucleotides) under uncultured bacterium. Its description in RNAcentral is "partial 16S ribosomal RNA". It matches the Rfam family "Bacterial small subunit ribosomal RNA", at positions 28 to 507 of the family's 1533-position model. The record is from RNAcentral.
GACGAACGCUGGCGGCGCGCUUAACACAUGCAAGUCGAACGGGAGGGCGCUGCUUUUCUUUGUUACUCGAGUGGCGAACGGGUGAGUAACGCGUGAGUAACCUGCCCUUGAGUUUGGGAUAACUUCAGGAAACUAGUGCUAAUACCGCAUAGGAGCACCUCCCGCCAGGUGGGGGUGGGAAAGGUUCGGCGGUUGGGGAUGGACUCGCGGCGUAUCAGCUUGUUGGUGGGGUAGUGGCGUACCAAGGCUUUGACGGGUGGCCGGCCUGAGAGGGUGACCGGCCACAUUGCGACUGAACUGCGGCACAGACUACUACGGGAGGCAGCAGUGGGGAAGAUUGUACUAUGGGAUGAAGCAUGAUGCAGCACCGCCGCGUGGGGGAGGACGGCAAUCGGGUUGUAUACUGCUUUCGCCUUUGACGAAGAGUGAGUGACGGUAAUGGGUAAAGAAGCACCGGCUAACUACGUG